This 633-nucleotide ribosomal RNA is filed under the name Bacillus sp. SMAKK003. RNAcentral describes it as "bacterial SSU rRNA". It matches the Rfam family "Bacterial small subunit ribosomal RNA", at positions 36 to 671 of the family's 1533-position model. Lineage: Bacteria; Bacillati; Bacillota; Bacilli; Caryophanales; Bacillaceae. The record is from RNAcentral.
CCAAUCAGCCUCCUAUAUGCAAGUCGAGCGGAUUGAUGGGAGCUUGCUCCCAUCAUAUCAGCGGCGGACGGGUGAGUAACACGUGGGUAACCUGCCUGUAAGACUGGGAUAACUCCGGGAAACCGGGGCUAAUACCGGAUAACUCAUUUCCUCGCAUGAGGAAAUGUUGAAAGAUGGCUUCUUGCUUUCCCUUACAAAUGGACCCCCGGCCCAUUACCUAUUUGGUGAGGUAACGGCUCACCAAGGCAACAAUGCUUACCCAACCUGAAAGGGUGAUCGGCCACCCUGGGACUGAAACACGGCCCAAACUCCUACGGGAGGCACCAUUAGGGAAUCUUCCCCAAGGGACAAAAGUCUGACGGACCACCCCCCCGUGAUUGAUGAAGGUUUUCGAAUCGUAAAACUCUGUUGUUAGGGAAAAACAAUUACCGUUCAAAUAGGGCGGUACCUUGACGGUACCUAACCAAAAAGCCACGGCUAACUACUUGCCACCACCCCCGGUAAUACUUAGGUGCCAGGCGUUCCGGGAAUAAUGGGGGUAAGCGCGCGAAGGUGUUUCUAAUCUGAUGUGAAGCCACGGUCACCGUGGAGGUCAUGGAACUGGGACUUGAGUGCAAGAGGAAGUGAAUCCAG